RNAcentral lists this transfer RNA (71 nucleotides) under Marmota monax (woodchuck). Its description in RNAcentral is "tRNA.Ala". The record is from RNAcentral. Lineage: Eukaryota; Metazoa; Chordata; Mammalia; Rodentia; Sciuridae.
GGGGUUGUGGCUCAGUGGUAGAGUGCUCGCCUAGCAUGUGUGGCGCACUGAGUUUGAUCCUCAGCACCACA